Molecule: ribosomal RNA, 2265 nt
Filed under: marine sediment metagenome
Description: bacterial LSU rRNA
Rfam family: Bacterial large subunit ribosomal RNA
Source: RNAcentral
UAGUACCGUGAGGGAAAGGUGAAAAGAACCCCGGGAGGGGAGUGAAAUAGAACCUGAAAGCAUGUGCCUACAAGCAGUCGGAGGGGAGAGGCCCCCUUCGGGGGACCUCGUCCCUGACGGCGUACCUUUUGCAUAAUGGGCCGGCGAGUUACCGUGCGCCGCGAAGUUAAGGGGUUCUAGCCCCGGAGCUGCAGCGAAAGCGAGUCCUAACCAGGGCGUCCAGUGGCGUGCGGUAGACCCGAAGCCGGGUGAUCUACCCAUGGCCAGGGUGAAGCGGCCGUAAAAGGUCGUGGAGGCCCGAACCCACCAGGGUUGAAAACCUGGGGGAUGAGCUGUGGGUAGGAGUGAAAGGCUAAUCAAACCCGGAGAUAGCUGGUUCUCCCCGAAAUAUAUUUAGGUAUAGCCUCGCAGCAGAGUGGCGGAGGUAGAGCUACUGGACGGGCUAGGGGCCCUGAUGGGCUACCAAACCCGACCAAACUCCGAAUGCCGCCACCUCGGUCUGCGGGAGUCAGGCCGCGGGGGAUAAGCUCCACGGCCGAGAGGGGAACAACCCAGACCGCCAGCUAAGGCCCCAAAGUGUGGGCUAAGUGGUAAAGGAGGUGGAAUCACGCAGACAGCCGGGAGGUUGGCUUAGAGGCAGCCAUCCUUUAAAGAGUGCGUAACAGCUCACCGGUCGAGUGGUUCUGCGCCGACAAUUCACGGGGCUUAAGCCCACCGCCGAAGCUGCGGGUCGUCCGGAGGUCCUUCCUCCGGACGGCGGUAGGGGAGCGUUCCCUAAGCCUGCGAAGGUGCGCCGUAAGGCGUGCUGGAGGUAUGGGAAGCGAGAAUGCCGGCAUGAGUAGCGAUAAAGGGGGUGAGAAUCCCCCUUGCCGAAAGUCUAAGGUUUCCUGGGGAAGGUUCGUCCGCCCAGGGUUAGUCGGCCCCUAAGGCGAGGCCGAAAGGCGUAGCCGAUGGGAAGCGGGUUAAUAUUCCCGCACCACCUGUACACCGCUUGAGCCGUGGGGGGACGCAGGAGCGUAAGGCCAGCCGGGCGUUGGUAGUCCCGGUCCAAGCGUGUAGGGGGAGCGGGCAGGCAAAUCCGUCCGCUCUUAACCCCGAGACGCGAUGGGGAGGGGCUUUGCCCCAUAAACUGGCCCCAAGCACACUGCCGAGAAAAGCCUCGUUCGGCGAGGUGUGCAGGUGACCGUACCGCAAACCGACACAGGUAGAUGGGGUGAGUAUCCUAAGGCGCGCGAGAGAACCCCCGUCAAGGAACUCGGCAAAUUGACCCCGUAACUUCGGGAGAAGGGGUGCCUCCCGGGGUGAAGGGACUCGCUCCCGGAGCCUUGGGGGGUCGCAGAGAAUUGGCCCUGGCGACUGUUUACUAAAAACACAGGUCUCCGCUAACUCGUAAGAGGAGGUAUGGGGACUGACACCUGCCCGGUGCCGGAAGGUUAAGGGGAGCCGUUAGCCCCUUCGGGGGCGAAGCGGUGAACCGAAGCCCCGGUAAACGGCGGCCGUAACUAUAACGGUCCUAAGGUAGCGAAAUUCCUUGUCGGGUAAUUUCCGACCUGCACGAAUGGUGUAACGACUGGGGCGCUGUCUCGACGGGGGACUCGGCGAAAUUGUAGUUCCGGUGAAGAUGCCGGAUACCCGCGGCGGGACGAAAAGACCCCGGAACCUUUACUGCAGCCAGAUAUUGGGCUUUGGCAUGGCAUGCGUAGGAUAGGUGGGAGGCUGAGAAGCGGGGACUCCGGUUCCCGUGGAGCCGCCGGUGAAAUACCACCCUUGCUAUGUCGGGGCUCUAACCCUGACCCGUGAAUCCGGGCAGGGGACAGUGUCUGGUGGGCAGUUUGGCUGGGGCGGCCGCCUCCUAAAGGGUAACGGAGGCGUCCAAAGGUCCCCUCAGCGCGAUUGGUAACCGCGCGUAGAGUGCAAAGGCAUAAGGGGGCUUGACUGCGAGAGGGACACCUCGAGCAGGUGCGAAAGCAGGGCUUAGUGACCCGACGGUGGCGUGUGGGAGCGCCGAAGAUCAACGGAUAAAAGGUACUCCGGGGAUAACAGGCUGAUCCUGCCCGAGAGUCCACAUCGACGGCGGGGUUUGGCACCUCGAUGUCGGCUCGUCGCAUCCUGGGGCUGGAGAAGGUCCCAAGGGUGGGGGUGUCCACCCCUUAAAGCGGCACGCGAGCUGGGUUUAGAACGUCGUGAGACAGUUCGGUCUCUAUCUGCCGCGGGCGCAGGAUACCUGAGGGGGGCUGUCCCUAGUACGAGAGGACCGGGAUGGGC